GAUGAACGCUGGCGGCGUGCUUAACACAUGCAAGUCGAACGGUGAACACGGAGCUUGCUCUGUGGGCUCAGUGCCUAACGUGUGGGUAACACGUGAGCAACCUGCCCCUGACUCUGGGAUACGCGCUGGAAACUGCGUCUAAUACUCGAUAUGUGACGUGACCGCAUGCUCUGCGUUUGGAAAGUUUUUUCGGUGGGGGAUGGGCUGGCGGCCUAUCAGCUUGUUGGUGAGGUAAUGGCUCCCCAAGGCCUCGACGGGUAACCGGCCUGAGAUGGUGACCGGCCACACUGGGACUGAGACAAGGCCCAGACUCAUACGGGAGGCAGCAGUGGGGAAUAUAGCACAAUGGGCGCAAGCCAGAUGCAGCAACGCCGCGUGGGGGAUGAGGACCUUCGGGUUGUAAACCUCUUUUAGCAGGGAAGAAGCGAAAGUGACGGUACCUGAGUAAGAAGCGCCGGCUAACUACGUG
Molecule: ribosomal RNA, 469 nt
Filed under: uncultured bacterium
Lineage: Bacteria
Description: partial 16S ribosomal RNA
Rfam family: Bacterial small subunit ribosomal RNA
Source: RNAcentral